This is a long non-coding RNA of Macadamia integrifolia, 743 nucleotides long. RefSeq lists it as uncharacterized. The transcript has 2 exons. The record is from RefSeq and is a predicted model, not a curated record. Lineage: Eukaryota; Viridiplantae; Streptophyta; Magnoliopsida; Proteales; Proteaceae.
UGCAGGUUAAAGAUGCCACAUAGAACACGGCCUAUGACUGCUCUCUUGGUGUUUGUGGGAGUGAAUGUUUUGGCAUCAACAAUUACUCCAAUGUAUGAUUUCGUUUGCUUCCUUCCAUAUUGGGAAAGAAGGAGAGAAUGUCAUCGAAAGGAACGUGAAGCUGCUUUAACGAAGGGGCCCUGAAUCUGCCUAAAGGAUUUUCUGAUGCAAACUUUUCAAAUCACUGAUUUCUGUGCUUCAUUGUUUGUGUUGUGAAGUUGCAAUAUCUAUUUUCCUGGAAGAGUAAAAGUGAACUGGAAGAUGUGUUUCUGGUAGCAAAUUUAGGUUCUCCUUACCCUAUGGGUUAAUGUUGCUUUUGCUGGAACAUGUUACUACAGGGUUUUCUUAGUCAUGGAAUGGGUAACACUUUGCUGAAGCGUUGGCAGACAUGUAGGUUUUAUCUGUUGGAGAGUUUACUGAAUAAGUAUACCUUGCCGCCGAUUGUCGCUUUAUGAGGCUGAAAAUCAACAUUCUGAGAGAGAAGAAAAGCAAGAACUUAUAGAGUUGAAAUCCUACGUUUCUCGCAGAUAGUAGGAAAAGUACAUUUGUGAAAACUGAAUAGCUGUUCAAUUUUUUUCUACCCCCACCCCAUUGGAGAGAUAGCAAAGAUGAGUGUUCCAUUUUGGCUCAAUUGCUCCAAAUUUUUUUUUUUUGUAAAAUAUUGUAGAUAUUUUCCACAUGAUAAGGAUGAAGUUUGAUACUCA